UCCGAGUUGACCCCGGCAGUCUCCCAUGAGUCCCCACCAUCACGUGCUGGCAACACAGGACAAGGGUUGCGCUCGUUGCGGGACUUAACCCAACAUCUCACGACACGAGCUGACGACAACCAUGCACCACCUGUAACCCGGCCCGUAAAGGCACACCCAUCUCUGAAUGCUUCCAGGUUAUGUCAAGCCUUGGUAAGGUUCUUCGCGUUGCGUCGAAUUAAUCCGCAUGCUCCGCCGCUUGUGCGGGCCCCCGUCAAUUCCUUUGAGUUUUAGCCUUGCGGCCGUACUCCCCAGGCGGGGCACUUAAUGCGUUAGCUACGGCGCGGACUCCGUGGAAACAGACCCCACACCUAGUGCCCAACGUUUACGGCAUGGACUAC
This 380-nucleotide unclassified non-coding RNA is filed under the name Allobogoriella caseilytica. Its description in RNAcentral is "Bogoriella caseilytica contains 16S-23S intergenic spacer region". Lineage: Bacteria; Bacillati; Actinomycetota; Actinomycetes; Allobogoriellales; Allobogoriellaceae. The record is from RNAcentral.